UUCCGUCCAAGGCUAAAUACGGG
This 23-nucleotide non-coding RNA is filed under the name Arabidopsis thaliana (thale cress). Lineage: Eukaryota; Viridiplantae; Streptophyta; Magnoliopsida; Brassicales; Brassicaceae. RNAcentral also lists the same sequence under 1 other name. The record is from RNAcentral.